Molecule: ribosomal RNA, 686 nt
Filed under: Cellulosimicrobium cellulans
Lineage: Bacteria; Bacillati; Actinomycetota; Actinomycetes; Micrococcales; Promicromonosporaceae
Description: bacterial SSU rRNA
Rfam family: Bacterial small subunit ribosomal RNA
Source: RNAcentral
UUAGUGGCGAACGGGUGAGUAACACGUGAGUAACCUGCCCUUGACUUCGGGAUAACUCCGGGAAACCGGGGCUAAUACCGGAUAUGAGCCGUCCUCGCAUGGGGGUGGUUGGAAAGUUUUUCGGUCAGGGAUGGGCUCGCGGCCUAUCAGCUUGUUGGUGGGGUGAUGGCCUACCAAGGCGACGACGGGUAGCCGGCCUGAGAGGGCGACCGGCCACACUGGGACUGAGACACGGCCCAGACUCCUACGGGAGGCAGCAGUGGGGAAUAUUGCACAAUGGGCGAAAGCCUGAUGCAGCGACGCCGCGUGAGGGAUGAAGGCCUUCGGGUUGUAAACCUCUUUCAGCAGGGAAGAAGCGCAAGUGACGGUACCUGCAGAAGAAGCGCCGGCUAACUACGUGCCAGCAGCCGCGGUAAUACGUAGGGCGCAAGCGUUGUCCGGAAUUAUUGGGCGUAAAGAGCUCGUAGGCGGUUUGUCGCGUCUGGUGUGAAAACUCGAGGCUCAACCUCGAGCUUGCAUCGGGUACGGGCAGACUAGAGUGCGGUAGGGGAGACUGGAAUUCCUGGUGUAGCGGUGGAAUGCGCAGAUAUCAGGAGGAACACCGAUGGCGAAGGCAGGUCUCUGGGCCGCAACUGACGCUGAGGAGCGAAAGCAUGGGGAGCGAACAGGAUUAGAUACCCUGGUAG